AGGAUGGGCUUGCGGAUUCCAGGCGUGGCUUCGGGGUACCGAAUUUGGGCAGGGGAUUCCCGCCCAUCGGUGCGUGGGGCCAAGUUGGGAUCCCGGUCUGUGCGUGGCCGGGGAAGGGGCGUGAAAGGAAAGUCAGAGGGCCGGGCCUUGGAAGCGUUUUGCUCACCCUUCCGCUUUGCCUAUCGCUCCUGACCCCCCGGGACACCUGGGCGCAGACUACAGUCAAUAAGCAGGGGAGCCGGCUGAUCUCGUCCUGGAUCCCCGUACUUAUUAGAAUAGUUGCACGCCAGCCAGCAUCACAGGCAAGUAAACUGGAAACGGCACCAGUGCAAAAUCACCCAGGUUUGCGUCUUCAAGGAAGAUCGCCGCUGCCCGGCAGGGAGCACCUUGUACCAGAUCUCAACCUUGCCUUUCAGUCCCAAAGCAGCCCCUCGACUAGUCUAGUUCUCCAGAGCUGGUGGGACAGGAGGCACCCCUCUCUAAGUUCAACCAAACAGCUGCCAGUGGAACCAGUCAGCUGUUCUCUCUCAACAGACAGGAUUUUCCCGGUUUGGUGAGCCUAAAGGGAUUCGCUCUGAAAAUGAGCCACCACUUCUGAUUUGCCCAAUCCACCUUCUCAAACUGGGUUGUGAGAUUUGGUGGAAGACAUGAGGGGCCAUCCUGUGGAAAGGGCAGAUGCUCUGUGACCCUUUGGGGGCUGAUCUGACUUAAGGGAGCUGGCCCAAGAGGGCCUACCACAAACACUGGGCUCAGGGACCUUCCUGCUCAGAACUUUGACCUGUCAUUCCCCUGAGAGUUCUGAGUGUGCUUGAGAGAGCAGGGAAUCUGAAUAGAAAACUUACUUAGGUUGGAGACACAGUCUUUGAAUUUGCACAGAUGAGUGAAAAACCCACCCUCACCCCUUCAUAUUAAACUGUAUGAUCUCAAACAAGACAGUUACCCUCUCUGAUUGUUAUUUUCCUCAUCUAUGGAAAUGGGAUUCCCACCCUAUGAUUAUAGCAAGGAUUGGUCUCGGACCAGCUUCUGAUGGUUCCUUAAGAAUUUACACAAGAACAGAUGGGGCAAGAGGGGAGGUUGGAAGGUCAAAGGUGAGCUGAGGGGACUGAUGUGCCCAAGGAAGUUUGGAAGGAGCACAUCAUUGCAUUCACAGAAUUACAGUGUCACACAAGAUGGUGGUGGUGGUUACCACUAGAUGGUGGAAUUGCUGAUUCUCCUGUUCCUCUGGCACUUUUUGGUGUUUUCCCAGAUUAUCCACAAUGAACAUAUAUUACUCUUGUAAUGGGGGGGGAGUAAAUGUUACUUUUUUAAAACAA
This is a long non-coding RNA of Ailuropoda melanoleuca (giant panda), 1313 nucleotides long. RefSeq lists it as uncharacterized. The record is from RefSeq and is a predicted model, not a curated record. Lineage: Eukaryota; Metazoa; Chordata; Mammalia; Carnivora; Ursidae. The transcript is spliced from 2 exons.